RNAcentral lists this ribosomal RNA (534 nucleotides) under uncultured bacterium. Its description in RNAcentral is "bacterial SSU rRNA". It matches the Rfam family "Bacterial small subunit ribosomal RNA", at positions 8 to 524 of the family's 1533-position model. The record is from RNAcentral.
AGAGUUUGAUCCUGGCUCAGGAUGAACGCUGGCGGCGUGCCUAAUACAUGCAAGUCGAGCGAACGGACGAGAAGCUUGCUUCUCUGAUGUUAGCGGCGGACGGGUGAGUAACACGUGGAUAACCUACCUAUAAGACUGGGAUAACUUCGGGAAACCGGAGCUAAUACCGGAUAAUAUUUUGAACCGCAUGGUUCAAAAGUGAAAGACGGUCUUGCUGUCACUUAUAGAUGGAUCCGCGCUGCAUUAGCUAGUUGGUAAGGUAACGGCUUACCAAGGCAACGAUGCAUAGCCGACCUGAGAGGGUGAUCGGCCACACUGGAACUGAGACACGGUCCAGACUCCUACGGGAGGCAGCAGUAGGGAAUCUUCCGCAAUGGGCGAAAGCCUGACGGAGCAACGCCGCGUGAGUGAUGAAGGUCUUCGGAUCGUAAAACUCUGUUAUUAGGGAAGAACAUAUGUGUAAGUAACUGUGCACAUCUUGACGGUACCUAAUCAGAAAGCCACGGCUAACUACGUGCCAGCAGCCGCGGUAAU